Molecule: ribosomal RNA, 902 nt
Filed under: uncultured Bacillus sp.
Lineage: Bacteria; Bacillati; Bacillota; Bacilli; Caryophanales; Bacillaceae
Description: bacterial SSU rRNA
Rfam family: Bacterial small subunit ribosomal RNA
Source: RNAcentral
GGGCUUAGAGUUUGAUUUCUGGCUCAGGACGAACGCCGGCGGCGUGCCUAAUACAUGCAAGUCGAGCGGAUCUUCAUUAGCUUGCUUGUGAAGAUCAGCGGCGGACGGGUGAGUAACACGUGGGCAACCUGCCUGUAAGACUGGGAUAACUUCGGGAAACCGGAGCUAAUACCGGAUAAUCCUUUCCCUCACAUGAGGGAAAGCUGAAAGACGGUUUCGGCUGUCACUUACAGAUGGGCCCGCGGCGCAUUAGCUAGUUGGUGAGGUAACGGCUCACCAAGGCAACGAUGCGUAGCCGACCUGAGAGGGUGAUCGGCCACACUGGGACUGAGACACGGCCCAGACUCCUACGGGAGGCAGCAGUAGGGAAUCUUCCGCAAUGGACGAAAGUCUGACGGAGCAACGCCGCGUGAGCGAUGAAGGCCUUCGGGUCGUAAAGCUCUGUUGUCAGGGAAGAACAAGUACCGGAGUAACUGCCGGUACCUUGACGGUACCUGACCAGAAAGCCACGGCUAACUACGUGCCAGCAGCCGCGGUAAUACGUAGGUGGCAAGCGUUGUCCGGAAUUAUUGGGCGUAAAGCGCGCGCAGGCGGUUCCUUAAGUCUGAUGUGAAAGCCCCCGGCUCAACCGGGGAGGGUCAUUGGAAACUGGGGAACUUGAGUGCAGAAGAGGAGAGCGGAAUUCCACGUGUAGCGGUGAAAUGCGUAGAGAUGUGGAGGAACACCAGUGGCGAAGGCGGCUCUCUGGUCUGUAACUGACGCUGAGGCGCGAAAGCGUGGGGAGCGAACAGGAUUAGAUACCCUGGUAGUCCACGCCGUAAACGAUGAGUGCUAAGUGUUAGAGGGUUUCCGCCCUUUAGUGCUGCAGCAAACGCAUUAAGCAUUCCGCCUGGAGCCCCCCC